CCGAACCGACUAAUGUUGAAAAAUUAGCGGAUGACCUGUGGCUGGGGGUGAAAGGCCAAUCAAACCGGGAGAUAGCUGGUUCUCCCCGAAAGCUAUUUAGGUAGCGCCUCGUGAAUUCAUCUCCGGGGGUAGAGCACUGUUUCGGCUAGGGGGCCAUCCCGGCUUACCAACCCGAUGCAAACUGCGAAUACCGGAGAAUGUUAUCACGGGAGACACACGGCGGGUGCUAACGUCCGUCGUGAAGAGGGAAACAACCCAGACCGCCAGCUAAGGUCCCAAAGUCAUGGUUAAGUGGGAAACGAUGUGGGAAGGCCCAGACAGCCAGGAUGUUGGCUUAGAAGCAGCCAUCAUUUAAAGAAAGCGUAAUAGCUCACUGGUCGAGUCGGCCUGCGCGGAAGAUGUAACGGGGCUAAACCAUGCACCGAAGCUGCGGCAGCGACACUGUGUGUUGUUGGGUAGGGGAGCGUUCUGUAAGCCUGUGAAGGUGUGUCGUGAGGCAUGCUGGAGGUAUCAGAAGUGCGAAUGCUGACAUAAGUAACGAUAAAGCGGGUGAAAAGCCCGCUCGCCGGAAGACCAAGGGUUCCUGUCCAACGUUAAUCGGGGCAGGGUGAGUCGACCCCUAAGGCGAGGCCGAAAGGCGUAGUCGAUGGGAAACGGGUUAAUAUUCCCGUACUUGGUGUUACUGCGAAGGGGGGACGGAGAAGGCUAUGUUGGCCGGGCGACGGUUGUCCCGGUUUAAGCGUGUAGGUGUGUGUUCCAGGUAAAUCCGGUUCACUUUAACACUGAGGCGUGACGACGAGGCACUACGGUGCUGAAGCAACAAAUGCCCUGCUUCCAGGAAAAGCCUCUAAGCAUCAGGUAACAUCAAAUCGUACCCCAAACCGACACAGGUGGUCAGGUAGAGAAUACCAAGGCGCUUGAGAGAACUCGGGUGAAGGAACUAGGCAAAAUGGUGCCGUAACUUCGGGAGAAGGCACGCUGACACGUAGGUGAAGUGAUUUACUCAUGGAGCUGAAGUCAGUCGAAGAUACCAGCUGGCUGCAACUGUUUAUUAAAAACACAGCACUGUGCAAACACGAAAGUGGACGUAUACGGUGUGACGCCUGCCCGGUGCCGGAAGGUUAAUUGAUGGGGUCAGCGCAAGCGAAGCUCCUGAUCGAAGCCCCGGUAAACGGCGGCCGUAACUAUAACGGUCCUAAGGUAGCGAAAUUCCUUGUCGGGUAAGUUCCGACCUGCACGAAUGGCGUAAUGAUGGCCAGGCUGUCUCCACCCGAGACUCAGUGAAAUUGAACUCGCUGUGAAGAUGCAGUGUACCCGCGGCAAGACGGAAAGACCCCGUGAACCUUUACUAUAGCUUGACACUGAACAUUGAGCCUUGAUGUGUAGGAUAGGUGGGAGGCUUUGAAGUGUGGACGCCAGUCUGCAUGGAGCCGACCUUGAAAUACCACCCUUUAAUGUUUGAUGUUCUAACGUGGACCCGUUACCCGGGUUGCGGACAGUGUCUGGUGGGUAGUUUGACUGGGGCGGUCUCCUCCUAAAGAGUAACGGAGGAGCACGAAGGUUGGCUAAUCCUGGUCGGACAUCAGGAGGUUAGUGCAAUGGCAUAAGCCAGCUUGACUGCGAGCGUGACGGCGCGAGCAGGUGCGAAAGCAGGUCAUAGUGAUCCGGUGGUUCUGAAUGGAAGGGCCAUCGCUCAACGGAUAAAAGGUACUCCGGGGAUAACAGGCUGAUACCGCCCAAGAGUUCAUAUCGACGGCGGUGUUUGGCACCUCGAUGUCGGCUCAUCACAUCCUGGGGCUGAAGUAGGUCCCAAGGGUAUGGCUGUUCGCCAUUUAAAGUGGUACGCGAGCUGGGUUUAGAACGUCGUGAGACAGUUCGGUCCCUAUCUGCCGUGGGCGCUGGAGAACUGAGGGGGGCUGCUCCUAGUACGAGAGGACCGGAGUGGACGCAUCACUGGUGUUCGGGUUGUCAUGCCAAUGGCACUGCCCGGUAGCUAAAUGCGGAAGAGAUAAGUGCUGAAAGCAUCUAAGCACGAAACUUGCCCCGAGAUGAGUUCUCCCUGAGACUUAAAGUCUCCUGAAGGAAC
This 2086-nucleotide ribosomal RNA is filed under the name Salmonella enterica. RNAcentral's name for it is "partial 23S ribosomal RNA". It matches the Rfam family "Bacterial large subunit ribosomal RNA", at positions 774 to 2836 of the family's 2925-position model. Lineage: Bacteria; Pseudomonadati; Pseudomonadota; Gammaproteobacteria; Enterobacterales; Enterobacteriaceae. The record is from RNAcentral.